RNAcentral lists this ribosomal RNA (285 nucleotides) under Tomentella sublilacina. RNAcentral's name for it is "partial large subunit ribosomal RNA". It matches the Rfam family "Bacterial large subunit ribosomal RNA", at positions 1773 to 2062 of the family's 2925-position model. Lineage: Eukaryota; Fungi; Basidiomycota; Agaricomycetes; Thelephorales; Thelephoraceae. The record is from RNAcentral.
GUGGUGUCACAAAAUCGGAGGCCACGACUGUUUACUAAAAACACAAUUCAGAGCAAUGAUGAAAAUCAUAGUAUUCUGGAUGAAAUUUGCCCGAUGCCAUUAACAUAAAAGAGGUAAUGGGAAACUGUUACUAAUUGAAAGUCUGGUUAAUAGCGGUCUUAACUAUGAGGAUCCUAAGGUAGCAAAAUCAGUUGGCCAUUAAAUGUGGUCUGGUAUCAAUAGUGUAACGAUGGUCUCACUGUCUCUACAACUUGCUCAGUGAAAUUGAAUUAUCCGUGCAGAUGC